GAUGAACGCUGGCGGCGUGCCUAAUACAUGCAAGUCGAGCGAACGGACGAGAAGCUUGCUUCUCUGAUGUUAGCGGCGGACGGGUGAGUAACACGUGGAUAACCUACCUAUAAGACUGGGUUAACUUCGGGAAACCGGAGCUAAUACCGGAUAAUAUUUUGAACCGCAUGGUUCAAAAGUGAAAGACGGUCUUGCUGUCACUUAUAGAUGGAUCCGCGCUGCAUUAGCUAGUUGGUAAGGUAACGGCUCACCAAGGCAACGAUGCAUAGCCGACCUGAGAGGGUGAUCGGCCACACUGGAACUGAGACACGGUCCAGACUCCUACGGGAGGCAGCAGUAGGGAAUCUUCCGCAAUGGGCGAAAGCCUGACGGAGCAACGCCGCGUGAGUGAUGAAGGUCUUCGGAUCGUAAAACUCUGUUAUUAGGGAAGAACAUAUGUGUAAGUAACUGUGCACAUCUUGACGGUACCUAAUCAGAAAGCCACGGCUAACUACGUGCCAGCAGCCGCGGUAAUACGUAGGUGGCAAGCGUUAUCCGGAAUUAUUGGGCGUAAAGCGCGCGUAGGCGGUUUUUUAAGUCUGAUGUGAAAGCCCACGGCUCAACCGUGGAGGGUCAUUGGAAACUGGAAAACUUGAGUGCAGAAGAGGAAAGUGGAAUUCCAUGUGUAGCGGUGAAAUGCGCAGAGAUAUGGAGGAACACCAGUGGCGAAGGCGACUUUCUGGUCUGCAACUGACGCUGAUGUGCGAAAGCGUGGGGAUCAAACAGGAUUAGAUACCCUGGUAGUCCACGCCGUAAACGAUGAGUGCUAAGUGUUAGGGGGUUUCCGCCCCUUAGUGCUGCAGCUAACGCAUUAAGCACUCCGCCUGGGGAGUACGACCGCAAGGUUGAAACUCAAAGGAAUUGACGGGGACCCGCACAAGCGGUGGAGCAUGUGGUUUAAUUCGAAGCAACGCGAAGAACCUUACCAAAUCUUGACAUCCUUUGACAACUCUAGAGAUAGAGCCUUCCCCUUCGGGGGACAAAGUGACAGGUGGUGCAUGGUUGUCGUCAGCUCGUGUCGUGAGAUGUUGGGUUAAGUCCCGCAACGAGCGCAACCCUUAAGCUUAGUUGCCAUCAUUAAGUUGGGCACUCUAAGUUGACUGCCGGUGACAAACCGGAGGAAGGUGGGGAUGACGUCAAAUCAUCAUGCCCCUUAUGAUUUGGGCUACACACGUGCUACAAUGGACAAUACAAAGGGCAGCGAAACCGCGAGGUCAAGCAAAUCCCAUAAAGUUGUUCUCAGUUCGGAUUGUAGUCUGCAACUCGACUACAUGAAGCUGGAAUCGCUAGUAAUCGUAGAUCAGCAUGCUACGGUGAAUACGUUCCCGGGUCU
This 1372-nucleotide ribosomal RNA is filed under the name uncultured bacterium. RNAcentral describes it as "bacterial SSU rRNA". It matches the Rfam family "Bacterial small subunit ribosomal RNA", at positions 28 to 1381 of the family's 1533-position model. The record is from RNAcentral.